CAAUUCUGUACAUGGUAGUAGUAUAAUCCACGCUGUACCAGAUCACUCCACCCCACAAAGAAACAAUCCCAACUGGACCCAAUCAGUAAUCUUAGCUGUUAAACCCAUUUCAAGAGAGAGAAAGAGAAAGAGAGAAACCACAAACAAACAGUCCACAGUUUUCUCAUUUCAACUUUCUCCAUUAUUCUUCUCUUCUUCUUCAUUCAUUUUCAAAACUAAAUUCAAAUCAACCCAAACAAAACCCCCAAAAUUCUUUUCACCCUUCCAUCACUUAUUUAGAUUUCUUCACUUUUUUUUUUAUUGAUUUUUCAGGCGAAACAACGAACAACAAGCUUAUCAACUGAGAAUCUUCUUCUUCUUCUUCUUCUCUGAAGGUUAUUGACUUGGGAUGUUUUGUUGGAAGGAAGGACAGGACAGAGCAUAUGCACAGGUAUGAUAUGUUUCUGAGAAGCUGAUGUGGCAAUAUGCCAUUGGCUGGAAAAAUUAUCCAUAUGUACUAUCUAUUUUAUUUAUAAAAUUAAAUGUCUAAUUUAUACACUUAAAUCUUCUAAUAGAUCACAUACUUCUGGCAUAUACAUAUAUGGUAAGAAUAAUCUUGACUGUUGAUUAGGUUCGGUUGAGCAUGUGAUCAGCAGCUUCUACACAUGCAAAAGUCUUAAAAUGCAGAAUUAAUGAGUUUCCUUUAAUUUAUUUAAUUUUUUAUAUAAAUAUAUAUUAUAACUAAUGUACUUACUAGCUAGUAUCAGUAAUCAAGAACAUGUUUAGAACACUUUGGAUUUCGAUAUAGUUGAUCUUUUGGUGAGCUUAUAUAGUACAGCAGACUGACUUUGUUGUUGGGUUGGGCCUAGACCUCAAUUUUUUUUUCCUUCCCACCAAAUCUAAAAUAAAUAUAUUUUCCCUAAAAAGUCGAUCAUAUAAGGCUAUGUAUGGUAUGUUAGACUUUAUAUGUAUGAAAUGAAGUAUAUAUAUUAUUGUAUAAAGUGUGAAAUUAAUAAAAUAUGUAUUGCACUAAAAUUAAAAAUCGAAAUAUCUUCAACCAUUACUUAAUUUUAUGGUAUUUUGGAAAGCAUUAAAAAGUAUUAUAGUAAGAAAUAAUGUUUUCCAUAAUAGUAUGUAUUAUAAAAAUCUUAUUAUAAUACUUUUAAUGCAUUAGGGAAAGUUGUAUUAUUAAAAAUCAAGUUACUUUUCAUAACAUAUUUUAUGAAUUAUGCUAAAGUAUUGCUGAAAACUCUUUUAUAAUACUUUUUAAGUAUUAUUUUAAUACAUUAAUAUGUUUAAAUGAGUAUUAUCUUUAUUAUUUUUCAUAGUAAGAAAUUAUGUUUUCCAUAAUACCAUAAAAGUAUUAUAAAAAUCUUAUCAUAAUACUUUUUAAUGGAUUAAGGAAAGUUGUAUUAUUAAAAAUUAAGUUACUUUUCAUAGCGUAUUUUAUGACUUAUGAUAAAGUAUUAUUGAAAACUCUUUUAUAAUACAUUUUAAGUGUUAUUUUAAUAUUUUAAUAUGUUAUUAAUUUUCAUAAUAUAUUUUUUCACUUAAAAUAUCAUUAUUAUUUUAAUAUUUAUAAUACUUUUGUGACUUAUAUUGUAAGCAUUAUUGAAUAUACUACAUAACACUUUUUUUUAUUAUUAUUUUAUCAUGUUCAUAAGAUUAAAUUAUCAUUAUUACUAUAAUUUUCACAAUGAUUUACAAUAAUACUUUUUCUUAUGAUUUGAGAAAAUAAUUAUAACAAUAAAUAUAGUUUUAUUCAGAGUAAUAAAGAAUACAAUUACAUACUUACAACCAUGGUAGUAUAUGAAAAAAAAAAAACACAUGUAUCUCCUAAAACUAAAUCAUCAUCUCCAAGAGACCCAAGCUCCUAACUUGCUUGACAGUUUUUGCAACAAUCUUGUGUCAUGUUCUUUAGUAGAAAUCACUGCACAAAAUGUGAGCAAACUAUUACCUCAAUAAUUAAGAAUUUAUUUAUAACUCAGUUACCUCUCAUGCAUAAUCAGUGGCCAUCAGUUCUUCUCUUUCAACUAAUAACAGAGAUUAGAAACACUUUUAAGUAAGAUUCACAAUAAACUAAUAACAGGGCAAAAGAUUACCUGAUGUCACUUUUGAGCAAAAUCUCACAUGAUAUACUUAAAUCAGCAAUUUAUGCUUCUUUUACACCAGACUUCAACUCCGGAGAAGUAAGUUCGGACUCUACACUCUCCGUAGCUGGUUGUUUGUUUCUAAUAAAAUAAUUACUGUGUUCUAUUCGAAUUGAUCUUCCCAUAAACGCCUAAGGGGGAAAAAAAGACAAGUCAGAGAAUCUCCAAUUUAAAAUGUCUUUAUGAAAUUUGGAUGCAGAAUAGGUCCAUGCUUAUAGUCACAAAUAAUAAGAUGAAAUAAACAUGAUGAACAACGCUGGCACCUUUCCUUGAACAGAGAUUAGAGCUGCCUCAGAUUCUUUCUUUGAUUUGAAGGAUACAUAUCCAUAUACCAAGGAAUUUUGUAUAGUUUCGUGGAAUAUAACUUCAGUAGACACUACGCUAUGGCCCUCAUUGUUGAAGAACUCUUUGAGAUCUUUAUCUGUAGCAUCAUAUGACAAAUUCCCAACAAACAAAUUGAAUGUCACUUCUCGCCUCUUUCUGCAAUAGGCAAUUUUCAAAACUCCACCCUCCACUUCCUAUAUCAUUUGUAUUUCUUUUAGCAGAGAACAUGACACAGAAAAGAGAAAGCAAAUGUUACAAGUAGUCCUCUAUUAACUUGCUGAUAAAAUGAAGAAAAGUCAUACAAAGAUGGUAAUAUAGAGCUAUUGAUUUCAUCAUAGUAAUUUAAAGUGUGUAAAAUUUUAUAUUUGAUUCAAGCAAGAAUUUUAGAUUUGCUUUCAGCUCAAGUGUUUUGUGAAAGAAUUCAGUAGAGUUUUGGGCUGGAAUUCACACAACGAAUUGCAGUAUAACACCAUUAUUUCCAUUUGGUAAAAGAGAAAGCUUUAAACUAAACAACCCAGAAAUAUGAAAAUAAAAAGAAACGUACUUACUAGCAUCUUCUUGGGUCAAAGCCACUGCAACAGUGGCCAAAGAGACUAAAACAGUCACUGGUUGUGAUGCCCAAAGACCAAA
Molecule: long non-coding RNA, 3083 nt
Organism: Cannabis sativa
Lineage: Eukaryota; Viridiplantae; Streptophyta; Magnoliopsida; Rosales; Cannabaceae
Exons: 2
Source: RefSeq, a predicted model, not a curated record